CUGCUGCCUUCCGUAGGAGUCUGGGCCGUGUCUCAGUCCCAGUGUGGCUGGUCGUCCUCUCAGACCAGCUACUGAUCGUUGCUUUGGUGAGCCGUUACCUCACCAACCGGCUAAUCAGUCAUCGGCCGCUCCGCUCGCGAGAGGCCCUUGCGGGUCCCCCUCUUUCUUCCGUAGAACUCAUGCGGUAUUAGCCAACCCUUCGGCUGGUUGUCCCCCACGAGCGGACACGUUCCGAUGUAUUACUCACCCGUUCG
RNAcentral lists this ribosomal RNA (254 nucleotides) under uncultured bacterium. Its description in RNAcentral is "partial 16S ribosomal RNA". The record is from RNAcentral.